UUAAUUCUGCAAUCGUAAAAUGAGCAGUCUGGUUAAAUGAUCUGUUAACUUCAAAUCCAAAACCCUGUGUCCCAAGGGCCCUCCCAACUCUGACAUCCUGGGUUCUAAGGGCUCUCCCAGCUCUGAGUUCCUGGGUUCAAAGGGCCCUCCCAGCUCUGACUUCCUUUGUUCUAAGAGUUCUCCUUGCACUGAUAUUUUGUUUUUUAAAAGUUCUUCUCAGAUAUCAUGUUCUAUGUUCCAAGGGUCAUCUCAAACUUUAUUAACCUGAAAUUGGAGAAAUUUUUUAAGUAAUAGAAAAAGGGAACAAUAAAAAUUUAUUUAAAAAAAAAAUAAAGCCAGAAAUUGAAAUUAGCUUCCCUAUAACUGUCCUCCAUUGCUUCUAGUUCUGUUGUCUUGGGUCAAAGAGCACAAGUUGGCUACCUUUGUCCUUUGAUGGCCCUUUAGGUAGAUCUUUGGACACAUUUGGGCUUGGAAUCAGAUGAUCUGAGAUUGAAUUCCCAGAUCACUCACUUCUUGUGUGACCUACCAUGGACAUCUCUACCUCUUGGGCCUCAGAUUUGCCUGAGGCUCUGAGAGAUUACUGCCUUGCUGCUUAGUCAUUUUGAGUGCUGCCGGUCGUGACCCGAAUUUGGGAUUUUCUUGGCAAAGACACAAAAAUGGCAUUUCCUUCUCCAAGUCAUUUUACAGUUGAGCUGAGGCAAA
Sarcophilus harrisii (Tasmanian devil) is the source of this 702-nucleotide long non-coding RNA. RefSeq lists it as uncharacterized. The transcript is spliced from 3 exons. NCBI's taxonomy places the organism in Eukaryota, Metazoa, Chordata, Mammalia, Dasyuromorphia, Dasyuridae. The record is from RefSeq and is a predicted model, not a curated record.